Non-coding RNA from Picea glauca (white spruce), 46 nucleotides. The record is from Rfam. Lineage: Eukaryota; Viridiplantae; Streptophyta; Pinopsida; Pinales; Pinaceae.
CCAAAGGAUUCUGUAGAAUCCAUAAACUUUUAAGAUUUGGAAUUGU